UCGCCCCCUAACUGGAACAGAAGCGCCGCCGAGCGCGCGCCGGCAGCACAGCCACCGCCCGUCCCAGCUGACGGGGCUGCACGGCGGUCACAAUGAGCGUCCGGAGAACCCGCUGGCAGAGCGGCCUUCCCGCGAGACUUCUGCAUCUCGUACCCGCCAACUGUGUGCCGCCCACGUUUCGCAGCAGCGGACGCGGACGUGGGAGCAGCGUGCAGACUGAGACUCACAGGUUUUCCCUACAUGCCUGGGACGCGGCGGUAACACGACCGACCGGGCUUCCGGAGGGCUGGGUUCUGUUUGGCGAGCUUUCCAGACACGGGUCCUCGCCAGGAAGCUCCUUCUAGCUCAGCUUUCCUGUAAACAGACACGAGGGAGGAAAUCAACGGGCUCAGGGAGGUAAAAUGGGGGCAAUGACAUACGUACAUCUCGGGGACGUGUGGCUGUGCCUCUGUGUCAUUAGCACUACAGCAGAAGCUUCCUCUGACCAAGGACAAAAAUCCACGUGGCAGAUCCGGGGGGCCGAGGCCUCAGACGCUGCUGACCCCCAGAAGACCCCGGAGAGACCUCCUCCUGACUGGGGCGGCUGGAGAGGUGGCAGUGGCCUGGGGUGGGCAGCCCCCAGGAGCAUCCUCCAGGCCUCAGGCCUGCUGGUCCCAGCUCGGUGUCCCCUUUACACCUAAUUAGAUUUCCUUGUAAAGAGAUAAAGGCUGUUACUUUGUAUCAGCACAUCUUCCUCUGCAGGACCGAGUUCCUGAGAGAGGAGAGACAGGCAGGGAGAUGAGGGGAAGAGCCGGCAUGGGUAGACUCCGGAAUAAGACCCUGACAGGCUCAAAUUGAUUCUGCAGCCCGGUAAAAUUGAGUGCAGAGGGAAUUGGAUUUGUGCCCUGUUGAAUGUAACUGCCUCUUGCUGUCUAUACCAGAAGCUGUUAAAAUGGUUAUCUUUAGAGGUGUGUGGAAAUUGUGUGCGAACAGACCGGUGAACCAUCCUGGGGCGCAGGCUUCCUCCGCGCACGCAAAACGGCAUCGUUGUUCCUAGUAACAUCAUAAACACCUUGCGCUUGUAAUGAGUAAGGAGUUCUGAGCCUUCCCGAGAAACAGCCCUGUGCCCACUGUCUCCAAAGCAGUCUCGAGAGGCCGACCCCACUCACGCUUGGGAAGCGCCCCAGUCCCGCUGGGCUGGGCUGUGCCUCAAGCCACCGCCACCAUGAUCCCACAUGUCAAAG
Herpailurus yagouaroundi (jaguarundi) is the source of this 1223-nucleotide long non-coding RNA. RefSeq lists it as uncharacterized. The record is from RefSeq and is a predicted model, not a curated record. The transcript has 4 exons. Lineage: Eukaryota; Metazoa; Chordata; Mammalia; Carnivora; Felidae.